UACGUAGGGUGCGAGCGUUGCCCGGAUUUAUUGGGCGUAAAGGGCGCGUAGGCGGCUCGGCACGUCCGUUGUGAAAUCGCCCGGCUCAACUGGGCGGGGUCAGCGGAUACGGCCGAGCUUGAGCAAGCUAGGGGGCAAUGGAACUCCCGGUGUAGUGGUGGAAUGCGUAGAUAUCGGGAAGAACACCAGUGGCGAAGGCGGUUGCCUGGAGCUUUGCUGACGCUGAGGCGCGAAAGCGUGGGGAGCGAUCCGG
This 253-nucleotide ribosomal RNA is filed under the name uncultured bacterium. RNAcentral's name for it is "partial 16S ribosomal RNA". It matches the Rfam family "Bacterial small subunit ribosomal RNA", at positions 524 to 776 of the family's 1533-position model. The record is from RNAcentral.